ACGGAGGAUCCGAGCGUUAUCCGGAUUUAUUGGGUUUAAAGGGUGCGUAGGUGGCUUUUUAAGUCAGGGGUGAAAGACGGUAGCUUAACUAUCGCAGUGCCUUUGAUACUGAAGAGCUUGAAUGGACUAGAGGUAGGCGGAAUGUGACAAGUAGCGGUGAAAUGCAUAGAUAUGUCACAGAACACCAAUUGCGAAGGCAGCUUACUAUGGUUUUAUUGACACUGAGGCACGAAAGCGUGGGGAUCAAACAGGAUUAGAUACCCUGGUAGUCCACGCCCUAAACGAUGAAUACUCGAUGUUGGCGAUAUACAGUCAGCGUCAAAGCGAAAGCGUUAAGUAUUCCACCUGGGGAGUACGCCCGCAAGGGUG
This 369-nucleotide ribosomal RNA is filed under the name uncultured bacterium. RNAcentral describes it as "bacterial SSU rRNA". It matches the Rfam family "Bacterial small subunit ribosomal RNA", at positions 525 to 896 of the family's 1533-position model. The record is from RNAcentral.